This 854-nucleotide ribosomal RNA is filed under the name uncultured Bacillota bacterium. RNAcentral's name for it is "bacterial SSU rRNA". It matches the Rfam family "Bacterial small subunit ribosomal RNA", at positions 70 to 902 of the family's 1533-position model. Lineage: Bacteria; Bacillati; Bacillota. The record is from RNAcentral.
AAAGUCCCCUUCGGGGGGCAAGUAGAGUGGCGCCCGGGUGAGUAACACGUAGGUAAUCUACCUUUGGAUUGGGAAUAACCACCGGAAACGGUGGCUAAUACCGAAUAAUGCAGCGGCACCUAAUGGUGACAGUUGUUAAAGCGGGGGAUCGCAAGACCUCGCGUCUGAAGAGGAGCCUGCGGCAGAUUAGCUAGUUGGUAAGGUAACGGCUUACCAAGGCGAUGAUCUGUAGCCGGCCUGAGAGGGCGGUCGGCCACACUGACACUGACAUACGGGUCAGACUCCUACGGGAGGCAGCAGUCGGGAAUUUUGGGCAAUGGGCGCAAGCCUGACCCAGCAACGCCGCGUGAAGGAUGAAAUCCCUCGGGAUGUAAACUUCGCAAGAACGGGAAGAAUAAGUAAGAGCUAACAUCUCUUAUGAUGACGGUACUGUUUGUAAGCUCCGGCUAACUCCGUGCCAGCAGCCGCGGUAAUACGGGGGGAGCAAGCGUUGUUCGGAUUUACUGGGCGUAAAGGGCGCGUAGGCGGCACCGCAAGUCGACUGUGAAAUCUCCGGGCUUAACUCGGAAAGGUCAGCCGAUACUGCGGGGCUAGAGUGCAGAAGGGGCAACUGGAAUUCUCGGUGUAGCGGUGAAAUGCGUAGAUAUCGAGAGGAACACCUGCGGCGAAGGCGGGUUGCUGGGCUGACACUGACGCUGAUGCGCGAAAGCUAGGGGAGCGAACGGGAUUAGAUACCCCGGUAGUCCUAGCCUUAAACGAUGAAUGCUUGGUGUCUGGGGUUUUAUAGUCCCCGGGUGCCGUCGCUAACGCUUUAAGCAUUCCGCCUGGGGAGUACGGUCGCAAGACUGAAACUC